RNAcentral lists this ribosomal RNA (506 nucleotides) under uncultured bacterium. RNAcentral describes it as "partial 16S ribosomal RNA". It matches the Rfam family "Bacterial small subunit ribosomal RNA", at positions 28 to 523 of the family's 1533-position model. The record is from RNAcentral.
GAUGAACGCUAGCUACAGGCUUAACACAUGCAAGUCGAGGGGUAACGAGAGGAAAGCUUGCUUUCCUUGUCGACGACCGGCGCACGGGUGAGUAACGCGUAUCCAACCUGCCCCCAACUAGGGAAUAACCUUGCGAAAGUAAGACUAAUACCCUAUACUUUCCUCAGAUGCCAUCUGACGAGGAAUAAAGAUUUAUCGGUUGUGGAUGGGGAUGCGUCUGAUUAGCUUGUUGGCGGGGUAACGGCCCACCAAGGCAACGAUCAGUAGGGGUUCUGAGAGGAAGGUCCCCCACAUUGGAACUGAGGCACGGUCCAAACUCCUACGGGAGGCAGCAGUGAGGAAUAUUGGUCAAUGGGCGGAAGCCUGAACCAGCCAAGUAGCGUGCAGGAUGACGGCCCUAUGGGUUGUAAACUGCUUUUAUACAGGAAUAAAGUUAGCCACGUGUGGUUAUUUGUAGGUACUGUAUGAAUAAGGACCGGCUAAUUCCGUGCCAGCCGCCGCCGUAA